RNAcentral lists this ribosomal RNA (301 nucleotides) under uncultured bacterium. RNAcentral's name for it is "partial 16S ribosomal RNA". It matches the Rfam family "Bacterial small subunit ribosomal RNA", at positions 509 to 807 of the family's 1533-position model. The record is from RNAcentral.
CAGCAGCCACGGGAAUACGAAGGGUGCAAGCGUUAAUCGGAAUUACCGGGCGUAAAGCGUGCGUAGGCGGUUUGUUAAGUCUGCUGUGAAAUCCCCGGGCUCAACCUGGGAAUGGCAGUGGAUACUGGCAAGCUAGAGUGUGUCAGAGGAUGGUGGAAUUUCCGGUGUAGCGGUGAAAUGCGUAGAUAUCGGAAGGAACACCAGUGGCGAAGGCGGCUACCUGGACUGAGACUGACACUGAGGCGCGAGAGCGUGGGGAGCAAACAGGAUUAGAUACCCCCGUAGUCCCUGUCUCUUAUAC